UAUCUAUCCAUACAGGGAAGGAUGAGAAGCUUCGACUAAGGUUCGAUUCGAGCGCAGCGAGAAAGCGUUGCCGCAGGCAACGACCCGAAGGGUGAGGAGCGGAGCGACGAAUAAUCCUUCCCCCACCACCA
This 131-nucleotide small RNA is filed under the name Salmonella enterica. RNAcentral describes it as "RtT sRNA". It matches the Rfam family "RtT RNA". From Rfam's summary of the family: This family represents a bacterial cis-regulatory element known as RtT RNA. The exact function of RtT is unknown although it is thought that it may be involved in changing the cellular response in relation to amino acid starvation. RNAcentral also lists the same sequence under 3 other names. Lineage: Bacteria; Pseudomonadati; Pseudomonadota; Gammaproteobacteria; Enterobacterales; Enterobacteriaceae. The record is from RNAcentral.